GAUGAACGCUGGCGGCGUGCUUAACACAUGCAAGUCGAACGGAGUUAAUUUGAGGAAGCAAGCUUGCUUGAAGAAUUGAAUUAACUUAGUGGCGGACGGGCGAGUAACACGUGAGCAACCUGCCUCUUACAGGGGAAUAACAACGGGAAACCGUUGCUAAUACCGCAUAAUAUGUUGAAAGGGCAUCCUUUUAACAUCAAAGGAGCAAUCCGGUAAGAGAUGGGCUCGCGUCCGAUUAGCUAGUUGGUAGGGUAACGGCCUACCAAGGCGACGAUCGGUAGCCGGACUGAGAGGUCGAACGGCCGCAUUGGGACUGAGACACGGCCCAGACUCCUACGGGAGGCAGCAGUGGGGAAUAUUGGGCAAUGGGCGAAAGCCUGACCCAGCAACGCCGCGUGAGUGAUGAAGGCCUUCGGGUUGUAAAACUCUUUGGACAGGGACGAAGAAAGUGAC
Molecule: ribosomal RNA, 453 nt
Filed under: Clostridiales bacterium oral taxon C16
Lineage: Bacteria; Bacillati; Bacillota; Clostridia; Eubacteriales
Description: bacterial SSU rRNA
Rfam family: Bacterial small subunit ribosomal RNA
Source: RNAcentral